Capsicum annuum is the source of this 570-nucleotide long non-coding RNA. RefSeq lists it as uncharacterized. Lineage: Eukaryota; Viridiplantae; Streptophyta; Magnoliopsida; Solanales; Solanaceae. The record is from RefSeq and is a predicted model, not a curated record. The transcript is spliced from 3 exons.
UAUGAAAAUUUUUAAAAGUGGUUCUUAAUUGGGUAUGUAGCUGGUUAGUAGAGUAAAACCUUUCUUGAGUUGAGUAGCUUUGGCCAGGUUGUUCUAGCCCAUGUUUGUAACGAAAAGUUUUUACUUCUAUAAUCCGAUUUACUGCUCGACUAACUUUGGCAAGCCAUCCUUCUGGUUGAGAAGCCGAGUUUGUUGCAAUCCAUCCUUUGGGAUGUGAAGCCCAGUCCUCUCAGUAAGAAAAUUGUUGUUCUUUUAAUCUCACCAUGCCAAGGUUCGAGGCAAGCUGUCCUUUGGGAUGAGAAGCCCAGUGCUCUCAGUAAGAAAGCUAUUGUCCUUAUGCAAUACAUUAUAAAAAUCAUGCAGUGAUCAAGCUACUGGAGAAACAUGGUGCCAAGCCUCCAGUGUCCAAAUGAAGAAAGAGAUGGAGAAAGUGAUGAAGACAUUUAAGUGCGAAUUUAUAUUAUUUGUUGCAUAUUUUGGAUUAUGAGAUUAUUAAUGAAUGAUUUUGUUUUGUGAUGUGUAUAUAUUGUGUUAUAAUUUAUUUUGUAUGUAAAUAAAAAUUUACAUUAA